Molecule: long non-coding RNA, 1519 nt
Organism: Brassica oleracea var. oleracea
Lineage: Eukaryota; Viridiplantae; Streptophyta; Magnoliopsida; Brassicales; Brassicaceae
Exons: 2
Source: RefSeq, a predicted model, not a curated record
UUCAUCUCCUUUCUCCCCUCCGAUACGCUCGUCGUCGUGGGCUAGGGUUUUUGCGCCAGAGAGUGCUCCACAGCAGGGUUGCAUUUUCUCCGGUGGUCUCUUCCCUUUCUGUUGGGGCUUCGGCGAGGAGGACGAGAGGGUGGUGGUUAGCUGCAGUCGGCUUUUUGGGUUGGAAGUCGAGAUCUUUUCCCCUUAGAUCUCGUCUGGCUUCUAUGUAUUGUCGGUGGUUCGCUGCUUCUGGUCCAAGGAGUCAUCGGCCUUGAUUGGGGUUAUCGGUUCUCGCUUCGUCGAGUCUGGGUCCUCUUCUUGCCAUGCUCUGUGUCGGUGGAUCUUAUUAUCACGGCGGCGAGUUGUGGGUUUGAGCACGCAGGUGGGUGGUGCUCAAGCUCAGUGGCCGGCUCGUGUAGGUUAUGCUUGCGGUUUAAAAAGCGUUUUUCUACGCCGCUUCAGUGGCCGCUUGCUUGGCUUCCUCACCUUCGGUUCUCCUGUUCGCGGUUUCUAAUCUGGUUCUUGAUUUGUUCUCUCUUGGUCGACAGCUCUCUUGUGCUUGUCGGAGUAAGGGGGUUCUGGUCGGGAUGUGCCCUUGUUCUUAUUCCCGUCUUUGCCGAGCCAUGUGACGGCUGUAGCAGCAACAACUUCAGUUCAUCGGUUCUCGUUGACUAUGGGUGUGUGGUGGUUCUUGUGUCUUUGACCGCUACAUCUAGUGUCUGUUUUUCUCUCACAUCCCAGCGCUACAUAGGUUUGCUUAAAUCUUUAUGUGGUGGUGUGCGAGGCAGUUGUGUGCGGGAUGGGCUCAGGUUAGGAGUACGGUGGUUGCGACACGUUUUGCUUGGAUCGGCACCUUGUAUAGGCCGUAUCCGGGUCAAAUAAUUGCUUGGUUUGGUUUUGUGGGUGACGUGUGGCCGCUGCUGGUGCUGUUUGUUCAUGUGGGCAGGUGCUUUGAAGCUCUCAGCAAGCUGUUCUCAGGUGGGCCAUUAUCUUUAAGAGCGGAUCAUCGGAGAAGCCAAAAUUACUGGGAUUUCGACUCUCGGUUAAACUUGGUUCAUCUUUUUGCGGCAAGCGGAUGGUGCGGACUUGGUUGAGCCUUCCGACUGCGGUGGUGAUUGUUGUGUCCGCCUUUCCUGUUGAUACUUGAUCGAGUAUGUAUUUAUGUUUACUUUUUCUUUUCUUCUUCUUGUCACCACUGUGCUUCUGUCAAAAAAUAAAAGUUGGUAAUAAUAUCUUUACAUUUUUACCAAAACAAAAUGAACAUGGCGAUUGGAAGCCAUCCUAUAAAAUGCAGCGAAUCAUAGUUGACACUAUAAGGUGCUCCAGGCUGUAUCUGUGGCAUUUUACUAGAUGUUUCCAAAUGAAAUUUGGUAGCUCAUCAAGAAACUUCUCUAUUUACUUAACCAAUGUUGUUUUUAUGGUUACAUGCAUUUCAGUUUUAUUCAUCUGAAACCCUGAUACAUGUUUAUAUGUUUAUGGAACAAAACAAUUUAAACCGACAUUCGUAUAUAUUACUGGAGUAAAGGUUUUC